This 253-nucleotide ribosomal RNA is filed under the name uncultured bacterium. RNAcentral describes it as "partial 16S ribosomal RNA". It matches the Rfam family "Bacterial small subunit ribosomal RNA", at positions 524 to 776 of the family's 1533-position model. The record is from RNAcentral.
UACAGAGGUCUCAAGCGUUGUUCGGAUUCAUUGGGCGUAAAGGGUGCGUAGGUGGCGCGCUAAGUCAGGUGUGAAAUUUCGGAGCUUAACUCCGAAACUGCAUUUGAUACUGGCGUGCUUGAGGACUGGAGAGGAGACUGGAAUUCAUGGUGUAGCAGUGAAAUGCGUAGAGAUCCGGAGGAACACCAGAGGCGCAGGCGGCUUGCUGGGUCUGUAUUGACGCUCAGACACGAAAGCAUGGGGAGCGAACGGG